RNAcentral lists this ribosomal RNA (220 nucleotides) under uncultured bacterium. RNAcentral's name for it is "partial 16S ribosomal RNA". It matches the Rfam family "Bacterial small subunit ribosomal RNA", at positions 15 to 236 of the family's 1533-position model. The record is from RNAcentral.
GAUCAUGGCUCAGGAUGAACGCUGACAGAAUGCUUAACACAUGCAAGUCUUUGGCGAAGCUGUGCUUGCACAGCCUAGCCAAGGCGGACGGGUGAGUAACGCGUAAGGGACUUGCCCUGCAGUCAGGGAUAACAGACGGAAACGACUGAUAAAACCUGAUAAAGUCAGGCGGACCCAUGUCCAGCCUGAUGAAAAGGAAUGCUGCAGGAGAGCCUUGCGU